This 1051-nucleotide ribosomal RNA is filed under the name Listeria monocytogenes. RNAcentral's name for it is "partial 23S ribosomal RNA". It matches the Rfam family "Bacterial large subunit ribosomal RNA", at positions 479 to 1530 of the family's 2925-position model. Lineage: Bacteria; Bacillati; Bacillota; Bacilli; Caryophanales; Listeriaceae. The record is from RNAcentral.
AGUGACCGAUAGUGAACCAGUACCGUGAGGGAAAGGUGAAAAGCACCCCGGAAGGGGAGUGAAACAGUUCCUGAAACCGUGUGCCUACAAGUAGUUAGAGCCCGUUAAUGGGUGAUAGCGUGCCUUUUGUAGAAUGAACCGGCGAGUUACGAUUUGUUGCAAGGUUAAGCGGAAAAAGCGGAGCCGUAGCGAAAGCGAGUCUGAAUAGGGCGCAUAAGUAACAGGUCGUAGACCCGAAACCAGGUGAUCUACCCAUGUCCAGGAUGAAGGUAAGGUAAUACUUACUGGAGGUCCGAACCCACGCACGUUGAAAAGUGCGGGGAUGAGGUGUGGGUAGCGGAGAAAUUCCAAUCGAACUUGGAGAUAGCUGGUUCUCUCCGAAAUAGCUUUAGGGCUAGCCUCGAGGUAAAGAGUCAUGGAGGUAGAGCACUGUUUGGACUAGGGGCCCUUCUCGGGUUACCGAAUUCAGAUAAACUCCGAAUGCCAUGUACUUAUACUCGGGAGUCAGACUGCGAGUGAUAAGAUCCGUAGUCGAAAGGGAAACAGCCCAGACCACCAGUUAAGGUCCCCAAAUAUAUGUUAAGUGGAAAAGGAUGUGGGGUUGCUUAGACAACCAGGAUGUUGGCUUAGAAGCAGCCACCAUUGAAAGAGUGCGUAAUAGCUCACUGGUCGAGUGACCCCGCGCCGAAAAUGUACCGGGGCUAAACAUAUUACCGAAACUGUGGAUGAACCUCUUUAGAGGUUCGUGGUAGGAGAGCGUUCUAAGGGCGGUGAAGUCAGACCGGAAGGACUGGUGGAGCGCUUAGAAGUGAGAAUGCCGGUAUGAGUAGCGAAAGAAGGGUGAGAAUCCCUUCCACCGAAUAUCUAAGGUUUCCUGAGGAAGGCUCGUCCGCUCAGGGUUAGUCGGGACCUAAGCCGAGGCCGAUAGGCGUAGGCGAUGGACAACAGGUAGAGAUUCCUGUACCAGUGCUAAUUGUUUAACCGAUGGGGUGACACAGAAGGAUAGGGAAUCGCACGAAUGGAAAUGUGCGUCCAAGCAGUGAGUGUGAGA